This 222-nucleotide unclassified non-coding RNA is filed under the name fungal sp. RNAcentral describes it as "partial contains 5.8S ribosomal RNA, internal transcribed spacer 2, and large subunit ribosomal RNA". The stretch from base 1 to 50 matches the Rfam family "5.8S ribosomal RNA", at positions 105 to 154 of the family's 154-position model. Lineage: Eukaryota; Fungi. The record is from RNAcentral.
CGCAAAUUGCGCCUUUUGGUAUUCCGAAAGGCAUGCCUGUUUGAGUGUCAUAUAGACCUCACCUAAUCGGUUUUCCGAUUGUGGUGCUUUGGGUGUCUUGCCAUUUGUUUGGCUCACCUUAAAUGUCUAAGUGGAACAGCGUGAUAAGUCUUCGCUAUCCUUCCACUCUAAAUCUAUUACAUCUCUGACCUCAAAUCAGGUAGGACUACCCGCUGAACUUAA